GUCAAGUGUAGUUGCAGCGGAGGAUGCACGUAGUCGCCUGCACAGUAACUUCUUUAACCAGUUGUGAUGGUCCCCUGUAGAGCCGAACAGAUCAAGUGCAAGGGAGGAGAAAAGAAGAGGAUGUUAGAUUUUGGGGUUUUCUUCCAAAGGGAAGCUCAAGGCUCGUUUUCAUACUGUUCAAGAAAAGCUUGCUAGGAAUUUAAAGCCUAGCCCCUUAGGUUUUCCCCAACCCUAGCUGCGGUUACUUGGAAGAUAUCUUAGGAGAUAUUUUAGGAGCACUUAUAGUAACUGCUUUGUAGUUACUAGAUAUUCGGAUAGGGCUCAAUGGCCACUAUCCAACAUCUUCCACUUGGCCAUGAGACCCCAGUUUUCUUCAUUUUCACUUUCAUUCUCUCUUUCCUCCUUGCGAAACCCUAGCAGAAGGUUUCACCUCCCACGCCACCAUCGCUGCCUCUUCCCAUCUUCUACCACCGUGACAGAAAGAAGGUAUCCUCCUCUAUUCUACCACGCGGAGGGUUGCAGGAAGCAGAGUUUACCAGCAGAGAGCAUAUGAGGCCCUCGAGCUGACUUGCCUUCCCCAAAACCAGAAGCAAAUAAACGACAGGAUGGGCCGGCAUUUUCAUAUGGAUGUCAAAUGCCGUCUUCCUCCUUCACCCAAGUCGCCUCCCAUUUUUCUUUUCAGCAAGAGAUGAUCUUUGCUCCUCGCACUUGGAAGACGACUGGUUUUCAAUCGAUUGUACGGCUCAACGGUAGAGAUGGACGGGUCGAGUUAAAAAAAAGAACAGAGGUUUCACCUACUGUUUGAAGAAGUUGUUGCAAUUGCAAUUCGGGUCUUUGUGUUGCUGUCCCUACACAAACCAUAAUAUAUUUUGCUGGCAUUGUUGCUGAUUUGAAAGCAUACAAUAUCAACUAUUGAUGUUGCAGAAAUAUUUGCUACAACUGUGCACUGUGAAAAACAGUUUUUUCUUCGACUUACCGAUAAAAAUUCUGCAAGAAUUUCUCUAAUCUUCCUGCAACAGCUAAUUGAAGAACUUUUCUACCUGCUACCAUCAACCAUUUGAAUGCUACUUCUUCAUCUUUAGCAGUCAAUUAAUUGACAUACUUCAACAUGAUUUCUGGA
Nymphaea colorata (pocket water lily) is the source of this 1120-nucleotide long non-coding RNA. RefSeq lists it as uncharacterized. The record is from RefSeq and is a predicted model, not a curated record. The transcript has 2 exons. Lineage: Eukaryota; Viridiplantae; Streptophyta; Magnoliopsida; Nymphaeales; Nymphaeaceae.